Long non-coding RNA from Esox lucius (northern pike), 540 nucleotides. Lineage: Eukaryota; Metazoa; Chordata; Actinopteri; Esociformes; Esocidae. The record is from Ensembl.
AGAUGCAACACCACCAUUCGGACUCAACCACCUCAUCACUUAUCUGACAAACAACAUUCAUCAAUAAUCACCGCCUUUCUGGCUUAGUCGCCAGUUGAAUAUUUUCCAAGGGACUCUUUAAACCAUUGUUUUGUUUUCUGACUGGAAUUAGAAGAUUUUGCUCUGUGAAGACACAUGGAUGUUGUGACUGGACUAGUGUUGCUGAUGUUAAGAGGACUGUCUGAUGCCACAGUGACCAUCUGUAAUGCUACUCAGAAGUCAUCACAGUGUUUUGUGGCUUUGGGUGGAACUCUGGAUCUUAAGCUAAUGAACAAUGACAGGGGAUGUGAGCUGCAGUUUAAAAAGAACCGUACUCAAGGUCCUGAACAGAUAUUCAUCAUGAAAAAAAACAAAGUGUCCAUCAAAGGACCCACUGAAGGUAGAUCAGAGUUCUUUAUGAACAAUGGGACCUUCAGGUUAACCAAUGUGGAGAGGGCUGAUUCUGGACAAUACUUCCUGGAAAUCUACAAUUCUAAUGGGUCGAGUUUAGGAACCAGAAUA